AGCGGGGAAGGGGGGCAGAGAUUUGAUCUGUGAAGGAGAACCAAAGCCCUGGCCGGAAGCGAUAAAAACAGAACAGAUGUCCCCAGAUACACAGUCGUGGGGAGGAACUUGUAAAUCACAUUCACUGCCGGCCCCAGAGAGAUGGCAGCUGAGCUGGAGGAGCCAGAAAAUCCAUGACGACAGGUGCAACAGCUCCUAACCGGUCCCCGUUGCCACUCUCGCGCCCCCUACAGUCUGUUCUUCGCACAGCGGCAAGAGUGAGUUCACAGAACUGUCAAUCAGAUCGCGCCAACUGCUGCUCACCGCCCUCCAAAAGAGGCUUGUUCCACACCCAGACUCCGCCCUGCGCCGCCUGGUCGUGCGCGCGUGCCUGGCUCCUCGGCCCUCCCUCUCCGCGCUGGGCCACACUGGUCUCCUCUGAACGUCGCUUGGAGCCUCUGUGCUUGCUCUUCCUCUUCCUGGAAAGCCUUCUCCCUAGUUGGUUCCACGCCGGCUCCUUUAUCCUUCAGCAGAACUUAGAGCUUCUUGGAAGAACUAAGAGGCGGCAGGGGAUUCAAGGCACCACUGAACGUCUUGGAGCAACAGUGGGGAGAAGGGACCCCUCCCAGACUGCGGAGAAACUUCCCUUGGCUGGGGCAGGGGAGGGGGGGGGGGGGGGGG
Molecule: long non-coding RNA, 660 nt
Filed under: Equus asinus (donkey)
Lineage: Eukaryota; Metazoa; Chordata; Mammalia; Perissodactyla; Equidae
Description: lncRNA (ENSEASG00005028836.1)
Source: RNAcentral